AGUGAACGCUGGCGGUAGGCCUAACACAUGCAAGUCGAACGGCAGCACAGUAAGAGCUUGCUCUUCCGGGUGGCGAGUGGCGGACGGGUGAGGAAUACAUCGGAAUCUACUUUUUCGUGGGGGAUAACGUAGGGAAACUUACGCUAAUACCGCAUACGACCUACGGGUGAAAGCAGGGGAUCUUCGGACCUUGCGCGAUUGAAUGAGCCGAUGUCGGAUUAGCUAGUUGGCGGGGUAAAGGCCCACCAAGGCGACGAUCCGUAGCUGGUCGGAGAGGAUGGUAGGCCACACUGGAACUGGGACACGGUCCAGACGCCUACGGGAGGCAGCAGUCGGGAAUAUGGGACAAUAGGCGCAAGCCUGAUCCAGCCAGACCGCGUGGGUGAAAGAGGCCUUCGGGUUGUAAAGCCCUUUUGUUGGGAAAGAAAAGCAGCAGGUUAAUACCCCGCUGUUCUGACGGUACCCAAAGAAUAAGCACCGGCUAACUUCGUG
This 492-nucleotide ribosomal RNA is filed under the name uncultured bacterium. RNAcentral describes it as "partial 16S ribosomal RNA". It matches the Rfam family "Bacterial small subunit ribosomal RNA", at positions 29 to 507 of the family's 1533-position model. The record is from RNAcentral.